AUGAGGAUGACUGUCCCCACCAUUUCUGGUGCUGCUACUUCUGAGAUCUCCGCCAAGGACGAUGAUCAAGAGAUGGAAGAUGUUGUUACUUCCAACCCUGCUCCUCCUCAUGUUAUUAGCCUUCCUGACGACGAAGACGAAGCGCCGCUGAGAGUGAGGCGGAACAGGAAGGCGUCGGCUGGCGAGACUCCACAAUCCACUCCGGCGCCUGAGGCCGUAGCUCGAGACGGUGGCGAUACCACCCGGGCUUCUGUGACUUUCGCCAAUCCUCUGACGAGUGUGCGGCCCUCGACGUCGACUGUAAAUCCGCCUUCGCUCUUCGCCACACACCACGUCCCUGAGGACCAAGUGGGUGCAGCUAAGGAAGCUAUACGCCAGGCAGGCAUCAUGAUGGAGCAGGUCAAGGUGGUUCAAGAAGCCAGCCAAGCGGCUUAUGACGCGAGUUCAGCUCUUCAGAGUAACAUCCAGAAAUCCUGUGAACUUGUGGCUCUCUACACUGAGUUGGAGAACAAACAGAUCCAGCUCGACCUUGACUUGAAGCUCGCUCAACAGAACCUGCAGAAGGCGCGAGACGAAGCAAAAGAUAAACUGGAGGAAGCUCUGAAGAAGAAGGAUCAAGAUCUUGCCGAAGCACAGAAGGAGGCCUCGAGCAAAACGAAGCUUGCAGAAGAGAAACUGGCUUCAGUCAGAACUCUUGAGCAGGAGAACUCCAGACUGAAAACUGCUCUCGAGACAGCUAAUCGAGAGGUCAGCCGACUGAAGAACGACAAGAUGGUUCUGCACGACCAGGCGGGUGAGCUGGCGGGGAAGGUAAACGAUCUGGAGGCUUAUCUCGGUGGACUCGCCAAGAAGCUGUUCGUCAUGUUCGAAGAAUUCUGCCAGAGCUUCGAAGAGAAAACGAGUCGAGUGGAGCCAGGCUUGGAUCCCGCCAAUUCUCUCGUGAAGGACGAGGCUGCUAUGAACGUGCUCCGACUGGAGUCUCGUGUUACCAGCGUUGUUGACUAUCUUGCUCGGCUGAAGGUUGCGAUGUCGCGGAUCGACACAUCACUCUGGCCUGGAACGACGCUUCAGAACGACCUCGAGUCCCUGAUGGUUCGAUUGGAUGAAGUCCCGGGUCGAGUGGCGGAAUGGAAGAAAUCUUCUGCUAGAUGUGGUGCUGAUGUCGCUCUGUCUCUGGUCCGCGUCCAUUGCAAGGAGGCGCGAGAAGAAAAGCUGGCCGCCAUCCAAGUUGCCAAUACCAGGAAGCACAGCUUUCAAGACUUCAUGGAGACUUUCAUUGCUGCUGCUACUCGUAUUGCAGACGGGAUCGACUUGGACGAGUUCGUCGCCCCUUCCAGUCCUCCGCUUGAGGAAUGA
RNAcentral lists this ribosomal RNA (1356 nucleotides) under Triticum aestivum (bread wheat). RNAcentral's name for it is "partial small subunit ribosomal RNA". The record is from RNAcentral. Lineage: Eukaryota; Viridiplantae; Streptophyta; Magnoliopsida; Poales; Poaceae.